This 478-nucleotide ribosomal RNA is filed under the name uncultured bacterium. Its description in RNAcentral is "partial 16S ribosomal RNA". It matches the Rfam family "Bacterial small subunit ribosomal RNA", at positions 28 to 523 of the family's 1533-position model. The record is from RNAcentral.
GACGAACGCUGGCGGCGUGCUUAACACAUGCAAGUCGAACGGUAAGGCCCUUCGGGGUACACGAGUGGCGAACGGGUGAGUAACACGUGGGUGAUCUGCCCUGCACUUCGGGAUAAGCCUGGGAAACUGGGUCUAAUACCGGAUAGGACCACUGCCUGCAUGGGUGGUGGUGGAAAGCUUUUGCGGUGUGGGAUGGGCCCGCGGCCUAUCAGCUUGUUGGUGGGGUGAUGGCCUACCAAGGGGACGACGGGUAGCCGGCCUGAGAGGGUGACCGGCCACACUGGGACGGAGAUACGGCCGAGACUCCUACGGGAGGCAGCAGUGGGGAAUAUUGCACAAUGGGCGCAAGCCUGAUGCAGCGACGCCGCGUGAGGGAUGACGGCCUUCGGGUUGUAAACCUCUUUCAGCACCGACGAAGCGCAAGUGACGGUAGGUGCAGAAGAAGGACCGGCCAACUACGUGCCAGCCGCCGCCGUAA